RNAcentral lists this ribosomal RNA (253 nucleotides) under uncultured bacterium. RNAcentral describes it as "partial 16S ribosomal RNA". It matches the Rfam family "Bacterial small subunit ribosomal RNA", at positions 524 to 776 of the family's 1533-position model. The record is from RNAcentral.
UACGGAGGGGGCUAGCGUUUUUCGGAAUUACUGGGCGUAAAGGGCGCGUAGGCGGCGCGGCGAGUUGGGUGUGAAAGGCCCGGGCUCAACCCGGGAUGUGCGCUCGAUACUGCCGCGCUGGAGUCCGGGAGAGGAUGGCGGAAUUCCCAGUGUAGAGGUGAAAUUCGUAGAUAUUGGGAAGAACACCGGUGGCGAAGGCGGCCAUCUGGACCGGCACUGACGCUGAGGCGCGAAAGCGUGGGGAGCAAACAGG